AUAUUUCAGUGUUAUAUCUUUUUGUUUUCUCAUAUUGUUCAUGGGGUUCUCAAGGCAAGAUUACUGAAGUGGUUUGCCAUUCCGUUCUCCAGUGGACCACGUUCUGUCAGACCUCUCCACCAUGUCCCGUCUGUCUUGGGCGGCCCCACACAGCAUGCCUUAGUUUCAUUGAGUUAGACAAGGCCGUGGUCCUGUGAUCAGAUUGGCUACUUGUUUGUGAUUGUGGUUUCAGUCUGUCUGCCCUCUGAUAACCUCUCUCAGUGCCUACCAU
Molecule: long non-coding RNA, 271 nt
Organism: Cervus elaphus (red deer)
Lineage: Eukaryota; Metazoa; Chordata; Mammalia; Artiodactyla; Cervidae
Exons: 4
Source: RefSeq, a predicted model, not a curated record